AUGGCCCAAGGUGUCUCACAAAGGCGUUCAGCUCUCCUUGCUGUCGAGAGUGGUGAUUAUCCAAGACCAGGAGCAAAUACUCAUGAGAAGAAGUGCUUUGAAUGUGGCCAGCCAGGACACUUCAAGGCAGCCUGCCCACAACUAAUAGGAGGAGGUCGUGGUAGAGGCCUGGACUGGCAUGGCAGAGAACGUGGUCGCGGGCUUGAUGGACGUGGUGGUGGUCGUGGAAGAGGUAUGUGGUCAAUAGGAAGGGCACACACUUCUGCUGUUGCUGAAGAACCAUCUAGGACUGUGAGCAUCGAGAUGACCGCCGAUGAGUUAGAGAACUGGCGUCAACUAAAGAAUUUGAGCCUUGGUGAUCUGCGGCCCUCGGAGACACAUGCAUCAUCUUCGUCAGCCAACUUCGCUGGUAACAACUCUUCUAUUAUGGGGUGUAGUGAUAAUUUUACAACAGGGGCACAAUGGUUAAUUGACUCUGGUGCAUCUAGACAUAUGGCUGGAUCUAAUAAGGAUUUUUACAAUUAUAUUUCUAAUCUAAGAAGGGAAAGUGUAAAAUUAGCUGAUGGUUCUACUCAAGCGAUUGUGGGGUCUGGAAUGGUCAAGUGCAGUCCAAAUAUGUCACUUUCUUCUGUCUUGCAUGUCCCCGCAUUUCCAAUUAACCUUUUGUCGAUCAGCUGUAUUACUGAAGAGCUGAAUUGUGCUGCUAUAUUCUUUCCUACCUGGUGCAUAUUUCAGGAACUUGGGACUGGAAGAAAGCUUGGGACGGGGAGCAUGCAUGAUGGGUUAUAUUACCUGGAUAAUAAGAUAUUCCCUACUGUGGCUGCUGCGGUGUCCUCCUCACCCCUAGAAGAAUUUCUACUUCAACAUCGUCGCUUGGGACAUCUAUCUUUUGCUACUCUGGGUCAGCUCUACCCUAAUCUUUAUUGUAAAAUUAGCAAGGAACAACUAAUGUGUGAUGCUUGUCAGUUCGGAAAGCAAACUAGGAGCUCUUAUUUGUCAUCUGAUAAUAGAAGUGAUGUACCUCUACAAACUAUACACUCAGAUGUAUGGGGUCCCAGUGGGGUGACAUCGAUAAAUGGUUAUCACUAUUUUGUUACAUUCAUCGACUGUUGCGCUAGAACUACUUGGGUCUAUAUUUUGCGUCAUAAGAGUGAUGUAUUUGAAUGCUUUAGAGAUUUUCAUAAUAUGAUUAGGACCCAAUAUUGUGCAUGGGUGAAGGUACUACGUUCGGAUAAUGGUACCGAGUAUGUGAACAAAGAACUUGAUGAAUAUCUAUCAAGUUACGGAAUUAUCCAUCAGACUACCUGUCCGGGUACAUCUGAACAGAAUGGACUAGCAGAAAGGAAAAAUAGGCGUCUCCUAGAGAUUGCUCGGUGUAUGAUGUUUCCCAUGAAUGUCCCAAAGUUUUUGUGGAGUGAAGCAGUCAUGACUGCGGCCUACUUGAUGAACAGGAUGCCAUCCAGGGUGCUUGGGUACAAGACACCAAUCGAAUGUCUAACCGAGGACACUACAUAUGUGGUUCCACCAAAAGUAUUUGGGUGUACAUGCUUUGUUAAGGAUUAUAGGCCUUCAGUUGGUAAGCUAGAUCCAAGGGCAUUAAAGUGUAUAUUUGUGGGGUAUUCUAGUAAGCAAAAAGGUUACAAGUGUUGGUGUCCUUCGGAAAGAAGAAUGUUCGUGAGUAUGGAUGUGGUAUUUAGAGAACAUGAACCAUUUUAUGGGGAACCAACAGACUUAACUGAUGUGUUUCCUGAUUUGUUUACUGAUAACAUGUUAGAUGCAUAUUGUGGGACAGGGGGAGACAAAGAAGAGGGAGAUGAUGACACAACAUCAAAAGGGAUGAUAAUUGGGGUAAUCCGUGCAGAAACUGAAGAAGAACAAAGAAAGGGGGAGCAGUAUGAUACAUCAAAUGCAGCACCCCGAUGGCCAAAACCAAACGAGGAAAGGGAGAUGCAGGUGUAUACACGAAAACGACAUACCCAGGAACAAAUGCAAGUGUUGGAACCUGAAGCUGAGGCUUAUGGACAGCAACAUGAGCAAGAGCAGGAAGCUGACCAACAAGAUGAUACUCAAAGUCAACCUGAUGACUCCAGACCUUCCUCAGAUAGUGCACUAGAUUCUGCAGGACCCUUACCACGGGACUGGCAGGAGGCAAAGUCGAACCCAAAAUGGAGGGCAGCUAUGAUAGAGGAGAUGACAGCACUUGACAAGAACAAUACUUGGGAAAUGAUGAUGGUGAGAUCUCUUGGUUGA
RNAcentral lists this ribosomal RNA (2250 nucleotides) under Triticum aestivum (bread wheat). RNAcentral's name for it is "partial small subunit ribosomal RNA". The record is from RNAcentral. Lineage: Eukaryota; Viridiplantae; Streptophyta; Magnoliopsida; Poales; Poaceae.